GCUGGGGGAGCGGCCGCCCGUACAGGGCAGUGCGGACGGAUGGGCCGCGUCGGAGCAGAGAGCCGGGAGACGCAGCCCUUGGAAAGGCCACGUGAGAGGAGUUCAGGAAGGACGGCAUCCAGUGGGAGAGAGCCACGUGGAGCAGGGAAAGGGAGUGGCUAUGACGGAGUGGCAGAGAAAAGCCCCCGUUCCCCGAUGUGUUGCUUGAAGAGAGGAGGUAGAUGAAGGGAUCACCUGCUUCUGCUUCCCAUGGUACCUCCCAAGGCAGCAAUAACUGUAUUGCUCUGAAGGAGACCAUUACCAACAAUGGUUGCAACUCUGUAUGGGCGAGAAAUGGAAUUUCAUUAUAACUACAUUCAAAGGUAUUAUUAUUUUCCUAGAGGAGUGCAUGUCUAUGACUACUGCCCAUUCAGUAUAGAAAACUGAACUGUAUCCUCUCGAAGUCUGGGAAUACAAAAGCACAAAGGUUAAUUCCAAUCACCUUUCACAGGCAGGUGUGUAUUCUCCACUAAUGUCUCCAUCUAGACUUUUCAGUCCACCCGCACCCCAGUUUUGCAGGGCUAUCACACACUCCUUCAGUAUAUGAACUUACCACUUGCUACCAGGCUUCUCUCCACUCUCCCUUGUACAUCCCCAAAGAUGUCAUUUAUGGGCUCUUUAACAACAUUUGAAAAUCAAAAGGAAUAGGUGGGAGACAUACUCCCAGAAUUUUCUAGAGUUAGGCAGGCGCUGGAAGCAAUGCUCUGGCCCAGACUGCUGCGGAAGCGGCAACCCAGCCUGCAGAGAUUUAAAAAGAAAUUACCCAAUUAAGAUGUAAUGGUCCUCCAGCCUUCCUACGCUGUGAAUGAGUGCAGACAUGAUUUACAAUCACAGAGAGUCAUAAAACUCUAUCCAGUUAUAUCAAAUCAACGGGGCUAAAUUAGCCAGCAACAUCCUGAUUAGGUGCUGUGCCUGUGUGUGUGUGUGCGCGUGUGCGCAGGAUGAUUUAUGAUGAGAUCUGCUGAACCCGUCAAAAGAAAUUUUAAAAUGACCUUCCAGGGGAAAAAAGGAGUGGAAGAGAGGGAUAUUGAGGUUUCAGAAAGACAAUUGUACUGCCUCACUCUGAAAGAUCACAGUGAAUAGAGGCGAAGAAAGAUUACAUUUGUCAGUGUGUUUGUAUGAUGAAUACUUAUCCACAUUCACUCGUUCCUUCCCCCUUGGCAGGCAAAUAGGAGGCAAAGUUCAUUCUCCAUUGAGGAGUUUUGUUAUGGUAGGGCUCCUAGUCACUAUUUAAUUAUCGUAACAGAGAGAUUUCCUUUUUUUUUAAGUGAAUCUUACUUAUGCUCAUGAAUACUGAAGGACUGCAUGAGCACAGCAAAGUGGAGUCCUCUAUUUAUCCAAAGGUCAGAGAUGAUUGCAGGCAGGUGGUCCAAUUACCCUAGAGGAAAAAAAUAUCUUUCUCCCUCCAUCCUUCUGCCUGCCUCAUUCUCCCCAGCUAGUCCAGGAAAAAUGAUAAAUAAAAAACUAGAGCUGCAUAAAGGAAGCUGUCAGCCUUUUUGCUUCUGAAGAGAGCAGCAGUACAAUUUGGUACAAGCAUAGUGUGUUCAUGAAUCCAAAACAUAAAUCACUGCCUUCAUAAUAGGGCCAUGAAGGCAGGGAUGAGGCUUCUUUCAGCCAAGAGAGCAACAAGCAGCAACAUCUCAAAGGUGAGGGAGAUUAGACCAGGUUUUUAUUUCUCACUGUGCCUCUGCUCUUUCUGCUUCUCCAACCGUUCACAGCAUUUCUUUCCCUGAUAUGUGCCCUACCUUCAAACUCCUGGCCACCCUGAAAUUUUUCAGCUGACCGCCCGAGCCCACAAGCUGUGACGCGUUCCAGAAAGGACUCUCCAUGCUUGUCAGUUCCUCCUGGUGCCUUAAUCCUGCAAAGGAAAUAUUUUUACAGGGCAGUAAUGCGUGGCAGCCUUCAACUUCCCUAAAAUAUGGAUGAGGGAUGCUUUCAGUGAUUGAGCACAAAACGAAAAAGCUCUUAUACCAGCUUCCUCUGAGAGAAGAUUGUUGUCUAGGCCAUCAUUACUGCAGAAUAAAAAUAAUAAUAAUAAUAAUAAUAAUAAUAAUAAUAAAUUAAAUGGCAGUACUUACACCAAAUACAGCUUCUGAGGAGAACAACACACUAUGAAGAUGAACACCACAUCAGCUGUUCAUAAUCCAGACAUCAUUUUGUUAGUUCUUAGGAAUUAUUGUUUUUGUUGUUGUUGCUCUUACUUUGCUAUGCAUAUGGGAAUCUUAAUCUGUCCUUCAGAUGGAAUUUCCUAGGCAUCUUAAGAAUCUAAUGAACUUCUUGCUUAAACCCUUUGAGAAAUAGCAAGUCUAUUGGCAGGCAAAAGUUUCAGAAUUGCAGUCUUUGAGCGAGUCUGACUGCUAAACUUGGCCUGAAAACUCAUUUAAUUUCUCAAGGUAGAGUCUGCCACCCUCAAUGCACAGUUCUAGGUAAAGAAGGGAAAAGAAACAGCAGUGGCCUAUGAGGUUCAAAAUAAGUUUUGCAAACAGCAAACAUUCUUUGAGAAGAGACUUUUCCAGGCUAAUCUUGCUUGUUAAAUACGGUUGAGUUAUGUCAAAAUGUACUGUACACAAGCCAGUUCUUAGGUAUGAAAAGUAGUGGAAGUAUGUGACAAAAGAUGUCAAGCAGUUAAGAACAAGGAAGAAAAUGUAACUGAACAAAGUCUAGCAAUCUGACCCCAGCUUUACAGAUACUGUAGGGGUACAAAGAAGAUCUACAAACUUAGAAAACUUAAAUUCAAGAACCCAGCACAGUCAGCUCUGUCUUCUGUAUACAUGUGCUCUCCACCCCGGUGACAUUGCAGCAGCUAAAUGACCACAAUGGGUAUCAUAAAUAGCAACAGCAAGAAAGGUGGGAGGUGGAGAAACGAUGUGGGACCAGAACAUCAAUAGAGUAUUGUGAACCGCAGUCUAACUAAGAUUAUUUUUCUCUUCAUUGUGAAUUUUGAUGCCUAAAUAAUAUUAUACAUGGCUGUGAAUAGGAUAUUUCACUGAUUACAGAAUUCAAGGUGCAUGAUAGUCAUAAGUGAUUAAAAGUCUGUCUUUUACUUUCUUAUGUACUAGGAAUUAGGAAGUGCACUUUGAAACUCUGAAAGAAGAAAUAGGAAGGAAAUCUUCUGUGUAAUUUCUCUGCAGGACUAAGUCCCAUAUGAACAC
Lagopus muta (rock ptarmigan) is the source of this 3191-nucleotide long non-coding RNA. RefSeq lists it as uncharacterized. The record is from RefSeq and is a predicted model, not a curated record. The transcript has 3 exons. NCBI's taxonomy places the organism in Eukaryota, Metazoa, Chordata, Aves, Galliformes, Phasianidae.